This 70-nucleotide transfer RNA is filed under the name Dipodomys ordii (Ord's kangaroo rat). It matches the Rfam family "tRNA". Rfam says of the family: Transfer RNA (tRNA) molecules are approximately 80 nucleotides in length. Their secondary structure includes four short double-helical elements and three loops (D, anti-codon, and T loops). Lineage: Eukaryota; Metazoa; Chordata; Mammalia; Rodentia; Heteromyidae. The record is from Rfam by way of RNAcentral.
GGUAAUGUGACUUACUGGUAGAGUGCUUGUCUAGCAUGCAUGAAGCCCUGGGUUCAAUUCCUCAGUACCA